This 2923-nucleotide ribosomal RNA is filed under the name Staphylococcus aureus. RNAcentral describes it as "23S ribosomal RNA". It matches the Rfam family "Bacterial large subunit ribosomal RNA". Lineage: Bacteria; Bacillati; Bacillota; Bacilli; Caryophanales; Staphylococcaceae. RNAcentral also lists the same sequence under 2 other names. The record is from RNAcentral.
GAUUAAGUUAUUAAGGGCGCACGGUGGAUGCCUUGGCACUAGAAGCCGAUGAAGGACGUUACUAACGACGAUAUGCUUUGGGGAGCUGUAAGUAAGCUUUGAUCCAGAGAUUUCCGAAUGGGGAAACCCAGCAUGAGUUAUGUCAUGUUAUCGAUAUGUGAAUACAUAGCAUAUCAGAAGGCACACCCGGAGAACUGAAACAUCUUAGUACCCGGAGGAAGAGAAAGAAAAUUCGAUUCCCUUAGUAGCGGCGAGCGAAACGGGAAGAGCCCAAACCAACAAGCUUGCUUGUUGGGGUUGUAGGACACUCUAUACGGAGUUACAAAGGACGACAUUAGACGAAUCAUCUGGAAAGAUGAAUCAAAGAAGGUAAUAAUCCUGUAGUCGAAAAUGUUGUCUCUCUUGAGUGGAUCCUGAGUAUGACGGAGCACGUGAAAUUCCGUCGGAAUCUGGGAGGACCAUCUCCUAAGGCUAAAUACUCUCUAGUGACCGAUAGUGAACCAGUACCGUGAGGGAAAGGUGAAAAGCACCCCGGAAGGGGAGUGAAAUAGAACCUGAAACCGUGUGCUUACAAGUAGUCAGAGCCCGUUAAUGGGUGAUGGCGUGCCUUUUGUAGAAUGAACCGGCGAGUUACGAUUUGAUGCAAGGUUAAGCAGUAAAUGUGGAGCCGUAGCGAAAGCGAGUCUGAAUAGGGCGUUUAGUAUUUGGUCGUAGACCCGAAACCAGGUGAUCUACCCUUGGUCAGGUUGAAGUUCAGGUAACACUGAAUGGAGGACCGAACCGACUUACGUUGAAAAGUGAGCGGAUGAACUGAGGGUAGCGGAGAAAUUCCAAUCGAACCUGGAGAUAGCUGGUUCUCUCCGAAAUAGCUUUAGGGCUAGCCUCAAGUGAUGAUUAUUGGAGGUAGAGCACUGUUUGGACGAGGGGCCCCUCUCGGGUUACCGAAUUCAGACAAACUCCGAAUGCCAAUUAAUUUAACUUGGGAGUCAGAACAUGGGUGAUAAGGUCCGUGUUCGAAAGGGAAACAGCCCAGACCACCAGCUAAGGUCCCAAAAUAUAUGUUAAGUGGAAAAGGAUGUGGCGUUGCCCAGACAACUAGGAUGUUGGCUUAGAAGCAGCCAUCAUUUAAAGAGUGCGUAAUAGCUCACUAGUCGAGUGACACUGCGCCGAAAAUGUACCGGGGCUAAACAUAUUACCGAAGCUGUGGAUUGUCCUUUGGACAAUGGUAGGAGAGCGUUCUAAGGGCGUUGAAGCAUGAUCGUAAGAACAUGUGGAGCGCUUAGAAGUGAGAAUGCCGGUGUGAGUAGCGAAAGACGGGUGAGAAUCCCGUCCACCGAUUGACUAAGGUUUCCAGAGGAAGGCUCGUCCGCUCUGGGUUAGUCGGGUCCUAAGCUGAGGCCGACAGGCGUAGGCGAUGGAUAACAGGUUGAUAUUCCUGUACCACCUAUAAUCGUUUUAAUCGAUGGGGGGACGCAGUAGGAUAGGCGAAGCGUGCGAUUGGAUUGCACGUCUAAGCAGUAAGGCUGAGUAUUAGGCAAAUCCGGUACUCGUUAAGGCUGAGCUGUGAUGGGGAGAAGACAUUGUGUCUUCGAGUCGUUGAUUUCACACUGCCGAGAAAAGCCUCUAGAUAGAAAAUAGGUGCCCGUACCGCAAACCGACACAGGUAGUCAAGAUGAGAAUUCUAAGGUGAGCGAGCGAACUCUCGUUAAGGAACUCGGCAAAAUGACCCCGUAACUUCGGGAGAAGGGGUGCUCUUUAGGGUUAACGCCCAGAAGAGCCGCAGUGAAUAGGCCCAAGCGACUGUUUAUCAAAAACACAGGUCUCUGCUAAACCGUAAGGUGAUGUAUAGGGGCUGACGCCUGCCCGGUGCUGGAAGGUUAAGAGGAGUGGUUAGCUUCUGCGAAGCUACGAAUCGAAGCCCCAGUAAACGGCGGCCGUAACUAUAACGGUCCUAAGGUAGCGAAAUUCCUUGUCGGGUAAGUUCCGACCCGCACGAAAGGCGUAACGAUUUGGGCACUGUCUCAACGAGAGACUCGGUGAAAUCAUAGUACCUGUGAAGAUGCAGGUUACCCGCGACAGGACGGAAAGACCCCGUGGAGCUUUACUGUAGCCUGAUAUUGAAAUUCGGCACAGCUUGUACAGGAUAGGUAGGAGCCUUUGAAACGUGAGCGCUAGCUUACGUGGAGGCGCUGGUGGGAUACUACCCUAGCUGUGUUGGCUUUCUAACCCGCACCACUUAUCGUGGUGGGAGACAGUGUCAGGCGGGCAGUUUGACUGGGGCGGUCGCCUCCUAAAAGGUAACGGAGGCGCUCAAAGGUUCCCUCAGAAUGGUUGGAAAUCAUUCAUAGAGUGUAAAGGCAUAAGGGAGCUUGACUGCGAGACCUACAAGUCGAGCAGGGUCGAAAGACGGACUUAGUGAUCCGGUGGUUCCGCAUGGAAGGGCCAUCGCUCAACGGAUAAAAGCUACCCCGGGGAUAACAGGCUUAUCUCCCCCAAGAGUUCACAUCGACGGGGAGGUUUGGCACCUCGAUGUCGGCUCAUCGCAUCCUGGGGCUGUAGUCGGUCCCAAGGGUUGGGCUGUUCGCCCAUUAAAGCGGUACGCGAGCUGGGUUCAGAACGUCGUGAGACAGUUCGGUCCCUAUCCGUCGUGGGCGUAGGAAAUUUGAGAGGAGCUGUCCUUAGUACGAGAGGACCGGGAUGGACAUACCUCUGGUGUACCAGUUGUCGUGCCAACGGCAUAGCUGGGUAGCUAUGUGUGGACGGGAUAAGUGCUGAAAGCAUCUAAGCAUGAAGCCCCCCUCAAGAUGAGAUUUCCCAACUUCGGUUAUAAGAUCCCUCAAAGAUGAUGAGGUUAAUAGGUUCGAGGUGGAAGCAUGGUGACAUGUGGAGCUGACGAAUACUAAUCGAUCGAAGACUUAAUCAA